Molecule: long non-coding RNA, 192 nt
Organism: Poecilia latipinna (sailfin molly)
Lineage: Eukaryota; Metazoa; Chordata; Actinopteri; Cyprinodontiformes; Poeciliidae
Exons: 2
Source: RefSeq, a predicted model, not a curated record
UUCUGACUCCUCCUGGUCCAGAGUGGAUCUCCUCUCCUGCUUCCAUAGCUCCUCCUUAACAUUAUGUAGCAGGAACAAACACAUUCCUAACCCAGAUUCUUGACAGUGAGUCCAUUUCUACAAGUAUAGGGAGGAGCAGGAGAGGAAACAAUGAGAAGUUUGAUCUUUGUUAUUUGCUUUUCAAACUGGAAA